CAAUAGCGUAUAUUAAAGUUGUUGCAGUUAAAAAGCUCGUAGUUGGAUUUCUGGUCGGAAGCUCCUGUCCUCUGAUGAGCGUACAAGUGCGUCCUACCAUCCUUCUGUUAACCUUUAAGGCUUUCGCGGCUUUCUAGGGGCUCAGAUAUUUUACCUUGAGAAAAUUAGAGUGUUUCAGGGAGGCUAGCGCCGGAAUACAUUAGCAUGGAAUAAUGGAAUAGGACUUUUGCCUCUUCUGUUGGUCAUGAGGCUCGAGUAAUGAUUAAUAGGGAUAGUUGGGGGCAUUAGUACUUAACUGUCAGAGGUGAAAUUCUCGGAUUUGUUAAAGACUAACUUAUGCGAAAGCAUUUGCCAAGGAUGUUUNCAUUAA
RNAcentral lists this ribosomal RNA (370 nucleotides) under uncultured eukaryote. RNAcentral describes it as "partial 18S ribosomal RNA". It matches the Rfam family "Eukaryotic small subunit ribosomal RNA", at positions 592 to 976 of the family's 1831-position model. The record is from RNAcentral.